GACGAACGCUGGCGGCGUGCUUAACACAUGCAAGUCGAGGGCACUUUGGGGGCAACCCUGGAGUGACCGGCGAACGGGUGCGUAACACGUGAGCGACCUUGCCUCGUGGUGGGGAUAGCCGGCCCAACGGCCGGGUAAUACCGCAUAUGGUGCUGACUCCGCAUGGAGACGGCAGCAAAGCCCUGGAGCAAUCCAGUGGCGCCACGAGGGGGGC
RNAcentral lists this ribosomal RNA (214 nucleotides) under uncultured bacterium. RNAcentral describes it as "partial 16S ribosomal RNA". It matches the Rfam family "Bacterial small subunit ribosomal RNA", at positions 28 to 230 of the family's 1533-position model. The record is from RNAcentral.